GAUGAACGCUGGCGGCGUGCCUAAUACAUGCAAGUCGAACGCGCAGCGAAAGGUGCUUGCACCUUUCAAGCGAGUGGCGAACGGGUGAGUAACACGUGGAUAACCUGCCUCAAGGCUGGGGAUAACAUUUGGAAACAGGUGCUAAUACCGAAUAAAACUUAGUAUCGCAUGAUACAAAGUUAAAAGGCGCUACGGCGUCACCUAGAGAUGGAUCCGCGGUGCACUAGUUAGUUGGUGGGGUAAAGGCUUACCAAGACGAUGAUGCAUAGCCGAGUUGAGAGACUGAUCGGCCAAAUUGGGACUGAGACACGGCCCAAACUCCUACGGGAGGCUGCAGUAGGGAAUCUUCCACAAUGGGCGCAAGCCUGAUGGAGCAACGCCGCGUGUGUGAUGAAGGCUUUCGGGUCGUAAAGCACUGUUGUAUGGGAAGAAAUGCUAAAAUAGGGAAUGAUUUUAGUUUGACGGUACCAUACCAGAAAGGGACGGCUAAAUACGUGCCAGCAGCCGCCGUAA
This 513-nucleotide ribosomal RNA is filed under the name uncultured bacterium. Its description in RNAcentral is "partial 16S ribosomal RNA". It matches the Rfam family "Bacterial small subunit ribosomal RNA", at positions 28 to 523 of the family's 1533-position model. The record is from RNAcentral.